This is a non-coding RNA of Acanthosepion pharaonis, 113 nucleotides long. NCBI's taxonomy places the organism in Eukaryota, Metazoa, Mollusca, Cephalopoda, Sepiida, Sepiidae. The record is from the annotation of a GenBank genome assembly.
UACGGCUAGAUCACGUUUAAACAUCGAUUCUCAUACGAACACCGAAGUUAAGCAACGUCGAGCCUGUUCAGUACCUCGAUGGGUGACCGUUUGGGAAUACUAAAUGCUGUAAG